GACGAACGCUGGCGGCGUGCUUAACACAUGCAAGUCGAACGGAAAGGCCCUGCUGUUGUUGGGUGCUCGAGUGGCGAACGGGUGAGUAACACGGGAGUGACCUGCCCUUGACUUUUGGAUAACUUCAGGAAACUGGGGCUAAUACCGGAUAGUAACUCCGCCUGCAUGGAGGGGGUGGGAAAGUUUCGGCGGUUGGGGAUGGACUCGCGGCGUAUCAGCUUGUUGGUGGGGUAGGGGCUUACCAAGGCCUUGACGGGUAGCCGGCCUGAGAGGGUGACCGGCCACAUUGGGACUGAGAUACGGCCCAGACUACUACGGGAGGCAGCAGUGGGGAAUAUUGCACAAUGGGCGGAAGCCUGAUGCAGCAACGCAGCGUGGGGGAUGACGGCCUUCGGGUUGUAAACCGCUUUCGCCUGUGACGAAGCGUGAGUGACGGUAAUGGGUAAAGAAGCACCGGCUAAAUACGUG
This 468-nucleotide ribosomal RNA is filed under the name uncultured bacterium. Its description in RNAcentral is "partial 16S ribosomal RNA". It matches the Rfam family "Bacterial small subunit ribosomal RNA", at positions 28 to 507 of the family's 1533-position model. The record is from RNAcentral.